GACGAACGCUGGCGGCGUGCUUAACACAUGCAAGUCGAACGGAAAGGCCCUGCUUUUGUGGGGCGCUCGAGUGGCGAACGGGUGAGUAACACGUGAGUAACCUGUCCUUGACUUUGGGAUAACUCCAGGAAACUGGGGCUAAUAUCGGAUAGGAGCUCCUGCUGCAUGGUGGGGGUUGGAAAGUUUCGGCGGUUGGGGAUGGACUCGCGGCUUAUCAGCUUGUUGGUGGGGUAGUGGCUUUCCAAGGCUUUGACGGAUAGCCGGCCUGAGAGGGUGACCGGCCACAUUGGGACUGAGAUACGGCCCAGACUCCUACGGGAGGCAGCAGUGGGGAAUAUUGCACAAUGGGCGGAAGCCUGAUGCAGCAACGCCGCGUGCGGGAUGACGGCCUUCGGGUUGUAAACCGCUUUCGCCUGUGACGAAGCGUGAGUGACGGUAAUGGGUAAAGAAGCACCGGCUAACUACGUG
Molecule: ribosomal RNA, 468 nt
Filed under: uncultured bacterium
Lineage: Bacteria
Description: partial 16S ribosomal RNA
Rfam family: Bacterial small subunit ribosomal RNA
Source: RNAcentral